This 283-nucleotide long non-coding RNA is filed under the name Elaeis guineensis (African oil palm). RNAcentral describes it as "long non-coding RNA (EGUI_LNC026505)". Lineage: Eukaryota; Viridiplantae; Streptophyta; Magnoliopsida; Arecales; Arecaceae. The record is from RNAcentral.
UUUUAGGUGGUAAGAAUCUAACACGUGCAUGCAAACUUCCCGCUUGUAAGACCCAUGUGCUAUGAGAAAUUAUAUCCUACAGCAUUGGUAGCAAGUGGUAAUGCAUAAUUUUGAUCAUAUGUGCUUGAUUUUAUAAAUCAAACAUCGAGAUAAAUAUUUGAUGAAUGUAGCCCAUGGAUAUGAGCAUUUAUAGUUGCCAUUGUGUAUGCGGAGUAGGAUACAAUUCCUCCUAUCCCAUUUGGUUGAAUGCUCUAUAUAUUAUGCUAUAAACAUUGUUGCACCA